GUUCGGAUUGCAGGCUGCAACUCGCCUGCAUGAAGCUGGAAUUGCUAGUAAUCGCGGAUCAGCAAGCCGCGGUGAGUACGUUCCCGGGCCUUGUACACACCGCCCGUCACACCAUGAGAGUCGGGAACACCCGAAGUCCGUAGUCUAACCGCAAGGGGGGCGCGGCCGAAGGUGGGUCCGGUAAUUGGGGUGAAGUCGUAACAAGGUAGC
RNAcentral lists this ribosomal RNA (210 nucleotides) under uncultured bacterium. RNAcentral describes it as "partial 16S ribosomal RNA". It matches the Rfam family "Bacterial small subunit ribosomal RNA", at positions 1291 to 1500 of the family's 1533-position model. The record is from RNAcentral.